GAGAGUUUGAUCCUGGCUCAGGACGAACGCUGGCGGCGCGCCUAACACAUGCAAGUCGAACGAGCGAGAGAGCUUGCUUUCUCAAGCGAGUGGCGAACGGGUGAGUAACGCGUGAGGAACCUGCCUCAAAGAGGGGGACAACAGUUGGAAACGACUGCUAAUACCGCAUAAGCCCACAGGUCGGCAUCGACCAGAGGGAAAAGGAGCAAUCCGCUUUGAGAUGGCCUCGCGUCCGAUUAGCUAGUUGGUGAGGUAAUGGCCCACCAAGGCAACGAUCGGUAGCCGGACUGAGAGGUUGAACGGCCACAUUGGGACUGAGACACGGCCCAGACUCCUACGGGAGGCAGCAGUGGGGAAUAUUGCACAAUGGGGGAAACCCUGAUGCAGCGACGCCGCGUGGAGGAAGAAGGUCUUCGGAUUGUAAACUCCUGUUGUUGAGGAAGAUAAUGACGGUACUCAACAAGGAAGUGACGGCUAACUACGUGCCAGCAGCCGCGGUAAAACGUAGGUCACAAGCGUUGUCCGGAAUUACUGGGUGUAAAGGGAGCGCAGGCGGGAAGACAAGUUGGAAGUGAAAUCUAUGGGCUCAACCCAUAAACUGCUUUCAAAACUGUUUUUCUUGAGUAGUGCAGAGGUAGGCGGAAUUCCCGGUGUAGCGGUGGAAUGCGUAGAUAUCGGGAGGAACACCAGUGGCGAAGGCGGCCUACUGGGCACCAACUGACGCUGAGGCUCGAAAGUGUGGGUAGCAAACAGGAUUAGAUACCCUGGUAGUCCACACCGUAAACGAUGAUUACUAGGUGUUGGAGGAUUGACCCCUUCAGUGCCGCAGUUAACACAAUAAGUAAUCCACCUGGGGAGUACGACCGCAAGGUUGAAACUCAAAGGAAUUGACGGGGGCCCGCACAAGCAGUGGAGUAUGUGGUUUAAUUCGACGCAACGCGAAGAACCUUACCAAGUCUUGACAUCCUGCGACGGACAUAGAAAUAUGUUUUUCCUUCGGGACGCAGAGACAGGUGGUGCAUGGUUGUCGUCAGCUCGUGUCGUGAGAUGUUGGGUUAAGUCCCGCAACGAGCGCAACCCUUACUGUCAGUUACUACGCAAGAGGACUCUGGCAGGACUGCCGUUGACAAAACGGAGGAAG
Molecule: ribosomal RNA, 1141 nt
Filed under: uncultured Clostridia bacterium
Lineage: Bacteria; Bacillati; Bacillota; Clostridia
Description: bacterial SSU rRNA
Rfam family: Bacterial small subunit ribosomal RNA
Source: RNAcentral